This 514-nucleotide ribosomal RNA is filed under the name uncultured methanotrophic bacterium. RNAcentral describes it as "bacterial SSU rRNA". It matches the Rfam family "Bacterial small subunit ribosomal RNA", at positions 116 to 614 of the family's 1533-position model. The record is from RNAcentral.
CGUAGGAACCUGCCCCGUAGUGGGGGACAACUUAUGGAAACGUAAGCUAAUACCGCAUACGCCCCCGCCUUUAAGGGACGGGGGGAAAGCGGGGGACCUUCGGGCCUCGCGCUAUGGGAUGGGCCUGCGUGGGAUUAGCUGGUUGGCGGGGUAAAGGCCCACCAAGGCGACGAUCCCUAGCUGGUCUGAGAGGACGACCAGCCACACUGGGACUGAGACACGGCCCAGACUCCUACGGGAGGCAGCAGUGGGGAAUAUUGGACAAUGGGCGGAAGCCUGAUCCAGCAAUACCGCGUGUGUGAAGAAGGCCCGAGGGUUGUAAAGCACUUUCAAUGGGGAGGAAAAAGCGUAGGCCAAUACCCUGCGUAUUGACAUUACCCAUACAAGAAGCACCGGCUAACUCCGUGCCAGCAGCCGCGGUAAUACGGAGGGUGCGAGCGUUAAUCGGAAUUACUGGGCGUAAAGCGUGCGUAGGCGGCUUGCCAAGUCAGAUGUGAAAGCCCUGGGCUCAACC